UCAGGCCUAACACAUGCAAGUCGAGCGAGGACUUCGGUCCUAGCGGCGGACGGGUGAGUAACGCGUGGGAACGUGCCCUUUGCUUCGGAAUAGCCCUGGGAAACUGGGAGUAAUACCGGAUGAGCCCUACGGGGGAAAGAUUUAUCGGCGAAGGAUCGGCCCGCGUUGGAUUAGGUAGUUGGUGGGGUAAUGGCCUACCAAGCCGACGAUCCAUAGCUGGUUUGAGAGGAUGAUCAGCCACACUGGGACUGAGACACGGCCCAGACUCCUACGGGAGGCAGCAGUGGGGAAUCUUAGACAGAUGGGGGAAACCCUGAUCUAGCCAUGCCGCGUGAGUAAAGGAGGCCUUAGGGUUGUAAAGCUCUUCAGCUGGAAGAUAAUG
RNAcentral lists this ribosomal RNA (382 nucleotides) under uncultured bacterium. RNAcentral's name for it is "bacterial SSU rRNA". It matches the Rfam family "Bacterial small subunit ribosomal RNA", at positions 42 to 451 of the family's 1533-position model. The record is from RNAcentral.